This 72-nucleotide transfer RNA is filed under the name Heterocephalus glaber (naked mole-rat). It matches the Rfam family "tRNA". From Rfam's summary of the family: Transfer RNA (tRNA) molecules are approximately 80 nucleotides in length. Their secondary structure includes four short double-helical elements and three loops (D, anti-codon, and T loops). Further hydrogen bonds mediate the characteristic L-shaped molecular structure. tRNAs have two regions of fundamental functional importance: the anti-codon, which is responsible for specific mRNA codon recognition, and the 3' end, to which the tRNAs corresponding amino acid is attached (by aminoacyl-tRNA synthetases). tRNAs cope with the degeneracy of the genetic code in two manners: having more than one tRNA (with a specific anti-codon) for a particular amino acid; and 'wobble' base-pairing, i.e. permitting non-standard base-pairing at the 3rd anti-codon position. Lineage: Eukaryota; Metazoa; Chordata; Mammalia; Rodentia; Bathyergidae. The record is from Rfam by way of RNAcentral.
GGGAGUGCAGCUCAGUGAUGGAGCAUUUGCUUAGCAUGCACAAGGCCCUGGGUUCAACCCCGAGCACUCCGA